AGAGUGAGCUAGACAACCGCUGCUUGUUAUUGCUUACUUGUCAGUAAUUAAUAAUUAAGGAGAGGAAAGUCCGGGCUCCAUAGGGCAGGGUGCCAGAUAACAUCUGGGGAGCGGAAGCUUACGACUAGUGCAACAGAAAGCAAACCUCCGAUGGCUAUUUUAAAGCACAGGAAAGGGUGAAAUGGUGCGGUAAGAGCGCACCGCGUAACUGGUAACAGGUUGCGGCAUGGUAAACUCCACCUGGAGUAAGGCCAAAUAGGAGUUCAUUAGAUGCGGCCCGUAUCGAACUUGGGUAGGCUGCUUGAGCCAGUGUGCAAAUACUGGCCUAGAUAAAUGGUUGUCCACGACAGAACCCGGCUUAUCGGCUGACUCUAGCU
RNAcentral lists this RNase P RNA (377 nucleotides) under Candidatus Arsenophonus melophagi. Its description in RNAcentral is "RNase P RNA component class A". It matches the Rfam family "Bacterial RNase P class A". Rfam says of the family: Ribonuclease P (RNase P) is a ubiquitous endoribonuclease, found in archaea, bacteria and eukarya as well as chloroplasts and mitochondria. Its best characterised activity is the generation of mature 5'-ends of tRNAs by cleaving the 5'-leader elements of precursor-tRNAs. The record is from RNAcentral. Lineage: Bacteria; Pseudomonadati; Pseudomonadota; Gammaproteobacteria; Enterobacterales; Morganellaceae.